UGUGCUACCAACGCAAGAGAGCUCAAUGCCGCAAGCGCGCGGCAUGUGAAGCGAGGCGCUGUCUGGUCUAGCACGCACACAUGUGUGUGUGCGCUCUCUCUACGCGAGCGCACCAGCAAAGCCGCCGCUGCGCAGAUCAUAGCGAGCUUCGACUGCUAAGAAAGCUGCGGGCACAUGGCGAGCGCCGUGACACCGCGGCUUGCAAGCAGCUUUAUUAUGCAGCGCGAGCGCAUCGCAACCAGCAUUCGUUAUGACUAUUUGCGCGCGCGCAACAAGCCACAUAAAAAAAAAGUUUUUGCGUCUGCUGCGCGCGCGCGUCUGGCACACGGCGCAAAUUUGCACAUGCGGGCUUCCCAUCUCUUGUGUAUGAGCUCCUCGCGCGGCGACGCACAUCUAUGAGGCGUUUUCGCUCGGCAGCCUACAUGCCCGCAGCUAUUAUGGCGCUCGCGCGCGCUAUGCGCGCGCAUCGCGCAUAUAUGCUGCGCUUCUGCCAAGCGCUGAAAAACGCGCAAACGCGCGCGCUUUUCAAUGGCCCAUAAAACGAGCGCACGCGCGCGCGCGCAAGAAAGCUCAGAAAACGGAAAACGGCGCGCAGCGCGCAAUAAGGCCGGCAGCAGCUGCUUAAAGUGUUUUAAAACACGCUUCCUGC
Molecule: ribosomal RNA, 649 nt
Filed under: Trionymus aberrans
Lineage: Eukaryota; Metazoa; Arthropoda; Insecta; Hemiptera; Pseudococcidae
Description: eukaryotic LSU rRNA
Source: RNAcentral